This is an RNA transcript of Benincasa hispida (wax gourd), 3999 nucleotides long. It is a transcript of the gene named ARM repeat superfamily protein, with no coding region annotated. The record is from RefSeq and is a predicted model, not a curated record. Lineage: Eukaryota; Viridiplantae; Streptophyta; Magnoliopsida; Cucurbitales; Cucurbitaceae.
ACCCUAAUAUUGAAAGGGGAACAAUUGCAAAAUAUGUAAAAUUCCAAUUCCAUCUCCAUUUUUUGUUGCCCGAACCCGGCUGGGCUGGCAAUCAGUCAUCCUACGCGCGCUUUUUACAGCCCACACUUCGAAGCAAGCGAGCAAGCGAGUAAAGGCUGCGGCAGUCACAUAGCCAACCAAAGUGAACUCCGAAACGGCGGAACAAACUCGAAGGCUUUGCUCGGCGCUCGACGAUGGCGAAUAUCGUUGAUCAGGAUCAACAAUGGCUUAUCAAUUGCUUGUCCGCCACUCUCGACCCCAACCAAGAGGUUCGCUCAUUUGCAGAAGCCUCGCUAAAUCAGGCAUCUCUUCAACCAGGUUUUGGGGUUGCAUUAUCCAAAGUUACUGCCAACAGGGAGCUUCCUGUAGGAUUGCGCCAGCUAGCUGCAGUCCUUCUAAAGCAGUUCAUCAAGAAACACUGGCAAGAGGGUGAUGAAUCAUUUGAACAUCCUGCGGUUUCUAAUGACGAGAAGGCAGUCAUUCGCAAGCUUCUAUUAUUAACAUUGGAUGAUUCACAUAGAAAAAUUUGUACAGCAAUUAGUAUGGCUGUGGCUUCAAUUGCAAUAUAUGAUUGGCCGGAGGAAUGGCCCGAGCUAUUGCCUUACCUCUUAGAUUUGAUGAAUAAUCGAAUUAAUAUGAAUGGUGUGCAUGGUGGUCUAAGGUGCUUGGCUCUACUCUCUGGGGAAUUGGACUGUGAAAUGAUUCCAAGACUAGUACCUGCUCUGUUCCCACACUUGCUUUCAAUUGUUUCAUCCCCAGAGAUGUAUGACAAGUAUUUGCGGACGAAGGCCCUGUCAGUUGUUUACUCUUGUAUAUCCAUGUUAGGGGCGAUGAGUGGUGUGUAUAAGGAAGAAACCAGUGCAUUGGUAAUACCCAUGCUAAAACCAUGGAUGGAACAGUUCUCUAUUAUAUUAGGUCAUCCUGUACAAUCUGAAGAUCCUGAUGACUGGAGCAUUAGAAUGGAGGUCUUAAAGUGCAUGAACCAGUUCUUUCAGAAUUUUCCUAGUUUUGCAGAAAAUGAUGUUACAAUUAUUUUGCAAUCAGUGUGGCAGACGUUUGUGUCAUCACUCCAAGUAUAUGUACGAUCAUCCAUUGAAGGUGUAGAAGAUCCAUAUGAAGGAAGCUAUGAUUCAGAUGGGGCUGACAAAAGUCUCGAUUCUUUUGUCAUCCAGUUGUUCGAAUUUCUUUUAACAAUAGUUGGAAGUUCAAAACUGGUGAAGGUUGUGAAGAACAAUCUAGGGGAGUUGGUAUAUUACACAAUUGCUUUCCUACAAAUUACGGAGCAACAGAUUCAUAUGUGGUCAAUGGAUUCCAAUCAAUUUGUUGCAGACGAGGAUGAUGGCAUCUUUAGCUGUCGUGUUUCAGGUGCACUGUUACUCGAAGAAAUUGUUGGUAAUUGUGGUCUAGAUGGAAUCAAUGCCAUCAUCGAUGCUGCCAAAAAUCGCUUCAGUGAGUCACAAAGAGAAAAAGCUUCUGGUUCUUCAGUUUGGUGGAGAAUGAGGGAGGCUAUUCUAUUUGCUUUAGCAUCUUUGGCAGAACAGUUAAUUGAAGUAGAGCCUUCUGGAGUGACAAGAGUUGGUCUGGAAAGUUUUCUCGAGGAAGUAAUGACUGAAGACAUGUCUAUAGGUCCUCAUGAAUGUCCCCUCCUUUAUGCUCGUAUAUUCACGUCAGUUGCCAAGUUCUCCUCUAUGAUUAGGCGUGACCUAAUUCAUCAGUUCCUUCAUGAAGCUGUGAAGGCUCUUGGCACGGAUGUGCCACCUCCUGUGAAAGUUGGUGCCUGCAGGGCACUUUCUGAGCUCCUACCUGAAGAAAACAAAGAAGUCAUUGGGUCUGAAAUGAUGUUUUUGUUUUCAUCACUUGGAAAUCUUCUCAAUGGGGCAUCAGAGGAAACUUUGCACCUGGUACUUGACACCCUGCAAGCUGCAGUUAAGGCUGGUGGUGAAUUGUCCGCUUCAAUAGAGCCCAUUCUUUCUCCUGUGAUUCUUAAAAUGUGGGAAUCACAUGUCUCUGAUCCUUUUAUCAGCAUUGAUUUAAUUGAGGUUCUUGAGGCAAUAAAAAAUUCUCCUGGUUGUAUCCGCCCGUUAGCUUCACGAAUUUUGCCAUAUUUAGUGCCUAUACUAAACAAACCCCAACAUCAGCCAGAUGGGUUAGUCCCUGGAUCAUUAGAUCUGUUGACAAUGCUUUUGAAGAAUGCUCCAAUAGAUGUUGUGAAAGCAGCGUAUGAUGCUUGUUUUGAUGGUGUUGUCAGGAUAAUCCUUCAAACUGAUGAUCAUAGUGAAUUGCAGAAUGCUACGGAAUCUCUAGCAGCUUUUGUAGCAGGGGGGAAGCAAGAAAUUCUUACUUGGGGUUCUGGAUUUACUAUGAAAAAUUUGCUUGCUGCAGCUUCGAGGCUUUUAGACCCUAAGAUGGAAAGUUCUGGAUCAUUCUUCGUUGGAAGUCUUAUCCUGCAAUUGAUAUUGCAUCUUCCAUCACAAAUGGCCCAACAUCUUCCUGACCUGGUUGCUGCACUAGUUAGGCGAAUGCAAUCUGUUCAAAUAUCUGGAGUGCGAAGCUCGUUGAUUCUUAUUUUUGCUCGACUGGUUCACAUGAGUGCCCCUAAUAUUCAACAGCUUAUCGAUUUGCUAGUUUCAAUACCUGCUGAAGGCAAUGAUAAUUCAUUUGUUUAUUUGAUGUCGGAAUGGACAAAGUUGCAAGUUGAGAUUCAGGGUGCUUAUCAAAUAAAAGUUACUACUACUGCAUUGGCCCUGUUGCUGUCAACACAAAGCCCUCACUUAGCACAAAUUAGUGUUCAAGGACAAAUUACUAAGCUUUCUGCAGGGAUAAUUACUCGAUCAAAAGGAAAAUUAGCUCCGGAUCAGUGGACAGUAAUUCCACUUCCAGCGAAGAUAUUAUCAUUGUUGGCUGAUGCACUAAUUGAACUCCAAGAACAAGUUUCGGUUGAUGAUCAGGAUAGCGAAUGGGAGGAUGCUGAGGCAGAUGACAUUUCAAAUGAUGAAAACCUGCUUCAUUCGGUCAAUGCUACAUCUGUAGGUAGACAUACCCAUGAAUAUCUUCAGGUGAUGGCAAAAGUAUACGAUGGGGAAGGUGAUGAGUAUGAAGAUGACCUACUUACUGUUUCUGAUCCUCUUAAUCAGAUUAAUUUGGCAAAAUAUCUGGUGGACUUCUUUAUGAACUUGUAUCAGAAUGACAGACAGAACUUUGAUAAUCUCUUCAAGAGUCUGUCCCAAUCUCAACAGAAUGCUAUUCGGGUGGUACUAAGUCGCUGAGUAUAUUACCACCACUGCUGAAUUUUUCGGGUGGUUAAUUGCUAUCCAAUGCUAACUGCGAGAAUCAGUUUUUCAUUUCCUCUUGAUGGUACACCCCCCCUCCGGGGGUUCUUUUAUUGUUUAUGGUCGUGGUUGCAGAGGGAGGAGAGGGGGAGGACUUCCGUGUGAAUGACAGACUCAUCAGUUUGGUUAUUUUUGUAAGUCUCCUUCAUCGUCUGUUCCAACCUUGUAAAAAGGCUGUUGUGGUAGUCACCGUGGAGGAGUUUGUGAUCAUUCAGGUGUGUCGUUGGCUUCUAAUUGGUGCUCAAAUUCCAGCUGUCGGUUUUUCAGUUUCCCUCCUUGCUGGUAUCCCCUCGCCCCAAUUCCUAAGGGGCAAAAUAGCAAAAAAAAAAAGAAAAAAAAAAUCAUCGAGUGUUGUGUAUUAGGUUUUUUCUGGAGUAUUUGAUCAUUAUUUUUUAGAUGUUUUAUUGAUGUUACUUGUUUUAGUUUCAUAGGUUUGCCUUGAAAGUUAUUUGUAUUAUUAUUAGUGCAUAGUUAGCUCAUGCUUUCUAGAUGAAGAUAUACGUAACUACUACAAACUCGCUAUAUGUAAAAAAGAGGGGGAAAAAAAAAAAAAGGUUCCGCUGCUGAUUGAAUAUUUGAGGAUAUUUGUGUUCAUUAUGACUUGGUUAUUGACAAGGGUUGCUCGAACUCA